AGCAGCCGCGGUAAUUCCAGCUCCAAUAGCGUAUAUUAAAGUUGUUGCAGUUAAAAAGCUCGUAGUUGAAUUUCGGGAUCAAUAUUUCGGUCAUGCCGUUGGUAUGCACUGUUAUCAUUGAUUUCUCACCUUCUAAAGAACCGUAAUGCCAUUAAUUUGGUGUUGCGGGGAAACUGGACUGUUACUUUGAAAAAAUUAGAGUGUUUAAAGCAGGCUAACGCUUGAAUACAUUAGCAUGGAAUAAUGAAAUAGGACGUUCGAUCUUAUUUUGUUGGUUUCUAGGAUUGACGUAAUGAUUAAUAGGGAUAGUUGGGGGCAUUAGUAUUCAAUUGUCAGAGGUGAAAUUCUUGGAUUUAUUGUAAGACUAACUACUGCGAAAGCA
RNAcentral lists this small RNA (382 nucleotides) under uncultured Glomus. RNAcentral describes it as "SSU rRNA". It matches the Rfam family "Eukaryotic small subunit ribosomal RNA", at positions 569 to 953 of the family's 1831-position model. Lineage: Eukaryota; Fungi; Glomeromycota; Glomeromycetes; Glomerales; Glomeraceae. The record is from RNAcentral.